AGUUCGUCGACAUGAAUUACUAGUUAACAAUAUUCACCCUUAGCAAAAUUAUUAAACAUACACUAACAAAAAGAAUCAUUUAUUAUAAAUCAUAUUUUUAAUUUUCAGUAUGAUUCUUCGCUAUACAGCAUAGUCAUUUUCAAAAUAAUAUAUAAUCAUUCUCAAAAUAAUAAAAAAUAUAUAUGUAUAUAUAAAUUUACUAUUUGUUCACAUCUCAAACUCGUAUAUUAAUUACAAAGUUCAACUGUUUGAGCUCCUCGUUUAUAGCUUAUAGACACACUUUUAUUCGUCCCAACUUCAAUUAGUAAGUAAUUUUACUACUCAUUUUAGUCAAACUCAUAUAGUAAUACAUGUUAAAUUUGUCGAAUUGAUUUAAAAUUUAUAAAAAUCUACAAAAUCAAAUAUAGUACUAUAGCAAAUAAUAUAAAUAACAAUUUAAAAGAUAAAAGCGAAAAUGAAAGGAUAAAUUCGGAUGCUAUUAUAUGAUUAAUGAAACUCGUUUCAAAUCUAUUAACUCACAUCCCUUAACUAUUUGAAAUUCAAUAAAAAUUUAUUUUACUACUCAUUAUUGUUUCAAACCAAUUUAUAAUAUUAC
This 595-nucleotide long non-coding RNA is filed under the name Salvia miltiorrhiza (redroot sage). RNAcentral describes it as "long non-coding RNA (SMIL_LNC004301)". The record is from RNAcentral. Lineage: Eukaryota; Viridiplantae; Streptophyta; Magnoliopsida; Lamiales; Lamiaceae.